Molecule: non-coding RNA, 30 nt
Filed under: Mus musculus (house mouse)
Lineage: Eukaryota; Metazoa; Chordata; Mammalia; Rodentia; Muridae
Source: RNAcentral
GCUUCCUAUUUUUGUUGUGGAGUUCUCGUG